GAUGAACGCUGGCGGCGUGCCUAAUACAUGCAAGUCGAGCGAACAGACGAGGAGCUUGCUCCUCUGACGUUAGCGGCGGACGGGUGAGUAACACGUGGAUAACCUACCUAUAAGACUGGGAUAACUUCGGGAAACCGGAGCUAAAACCGGAUAAUAUAUUGAACCGCAUGGUUCAAUAGUGAAAGACGGUUUUGCUGUCACUUAUAGAUGGAUCCGCGCCGCAUUAGCUAGUUGGUAAGGUAACGGCUUACCAAGGCAACGAUGCGUAGCCGACCUGAGAGGGUGAUCGGCCACACUGGAACUGAGACACGGUCCAGACUCCUACGGGAGGCAGCAGUAGGGAAUCUUCCGCAAUGGGCGAAAGCCUGACGGAGCAACGCCGCGUGAGUGAUGAAGGUCUUCGGAUCGUAAAACUCUGUUAUUAGGGAAGAACAAAUGUGUAAGAAACUAUGCACGUCUUGACGGUACCUAAUCAGAAAGCCACGGCUAACUACGU
Molecule: ribosomal RNA, 496 nt
Filed under: uncultured bacterium
Lineage: Bacteria
Description: partial 16S ribosomal RNA
Rfam family: Bacterial small subunit ribosomal RNA
Source: RNAcentral